RNAcentral lists this ribosomal RNA (515 nucleotides) under uncultured Lachnospiraceae bacterium. RNAcentral describes it as "bacterial SSU rRNA". It matches the Rfam family "Bacterial small subunit ribosomal RNA", at positions 1 to 507 of the family's 1533-position model. Lineage: Bacteria; Bacillati; Bacillota; Clostridia; Lachnospirales; Lachnospiraceae. The record is from RNAcentral.
CGGUAAGAGUUUGUAGUCCUGGCUACAGGAGUGAACGGACUGGCGGACGGUGCGUUAACACGAUGGCAAGUCGAACGGAGCGCGGACACGGACUAUUUCGGUAGGAGCGUGCGGAGGCUUAGUGGCGGACGGGUGAGUAACGCGUGGAUAACCUGCCGCGAUACCGGGGGAUAACAGCUGGAACAGCUGCUAAUACCGCAUAUGCCCGCAGUGCCGCAUGGCACAGCGGGGAAACUCCGGUGGUAUGCGAUGGGUCCGCGUCUGAUUAGGCAGUUGGCGGGGUAACGGCCCACCAAACCGACGAUCAGUAGCCGGCCUGAGAGGGCGGACGGCCACACUGGGACUGAGACACGGCCCAGACUCCUGCGGGAGGCAGCAGUGGGGAAUAUUGCACAAUGGGGGAAACCCUGAUGCAGCGACGCCGCGUGAAGGAAGAAGUAUCUCGGUAUGUAAACUUCUAUCAGCAGGGAAGAAAACAGACGGUACCUGACUAGGAAGCCCCGGCUAACUACGUG